Molecule: small nuclear RNA, 20 nt
Filed under: Arabidopsis thaliana (thale cress)
Lineage: Eukaryota; Viridiplantae; Streptophyta; Magnoliopsida; Brassicales; Brassicaceae
Description: snRNA_16002
Source: RNAcentral
GCGAAAGAAUAGUUCGCUAU